GGAGUCGAAGCUCAUCAUCUCGCGAGAAAGUAUAACCGCUACGCGCGAGUUUAGAGGCAAGAAGAAUGUUGCUUGGUUAGUCGUGGGUGUUCUUCGUAACGCGUUAAACGACAGCGCGAUUAUAUACAUAUAUAGAUUUAUAUCACUAUAUUUAAAAUUACUUACACAUAUAUUCAUUAUUUAUUUGUGUAUAUACAUAUGUGUGUGUGUGUGUAUAUAAAAUUCGACACUGCUACAGCGACGAAAGGACAGUUCGGUUAUUUCUUCGGCUGAUGCUCUGCCGUUAGCUUCUGCGGGCGAGGCUCUUCCGUAUACACAGUGUAAUGGUGUAUGAAAAAGAUUUAAUUCGAGUUUUGAACUUUUGAACGAACAUCAACAACUUUGCGCAAUGAUUGGAGCGAAAAUCGUGGUGCUCGGUGCUUUUUUAUUGUGUCAGUGUUAAUCCUUCAAACGAGGAUGCUCUAGUUCGAGAGUGCCGGAAGGCGGCGGCUGCUCGUCGCUGCUGCUGCUGCAUGUUAAUAAUAAUAACAAUAAUAAAAUAAAUAAAUAAAAAAGUGAACCCGAAACAUUGUUUAUGAAUUUUGUGAAGUUUUUCGCGAAGUAAAAAUAAUAACGGACGAGUUUCAACAUCAUCCAUUGAUAAAGACACGCCAAAAAAUAUUUGACGAAUCUUAUUUCGGAUAUAAAGAAAUGUGCGCGCGUGUACGCUUUGUACGUAAACGAUCUAAGAAAGCACAGGAAUCAUAGGAAAAGUUUGUCGACUCGUGUUUUGUGUUCUCUUUCUUCUUCUUACUGAUCUUUCGAAUUUUUUGUUUACUUCUUUUUGCGGGUUCUCGCGUCUCUUCGAGCGCCACGGGCGGGGCAAAGAAAACUUGCGUUUUCUACUUCUCAUUUUUUGGCGUAUUGUUUUUUGUGAUUCUUCAACAAUUUCGUUCCUAAUAAUCUUACAACUCGACUGCUCCUCGUCGUUUUCACCGAAAAUCUACUAGAUUUUUCGUAACGAGUGCUUUUUCUUGGUCUUGUUUUCGUGAUCUGUUCCGCGCUCGUGUGUGAAUCGUUUCGACCUUUUUCGCCCUUCAUAUUCGAGGGACCAUGCACCAAAUCCCUCAACGAUGAUCAACCGGAUCGGACUUCCUCGUUCUUCCUGGACCUGGAAUAGACACUGACGAUAUGGACACAGUAUGGCUUCGGUACUCUGGCAUGCCUCUGGGAGUAGUUUCGUUUCACCUACCGUCAUAUUCCUCCUGCUACUCUGUCCACGUACUACCACAGGCCGCGAGGUAAUUGACGUACCACUGCCACAGCAAGACUACGUACCAACCCUGCCACCACCACCACCACCGGGACCCAUCACCACUGCCAGAACACCAAAGUGUGACCAGAAAUUCGUCAGCAUUGCGGAUGGCCCGCAAAAUGGAACGUUUGAGGCACCGUCUUUGAUAAAUCCCGAUGGUGAAUCACAGCAGUGCGUUUACACGUUCUUCGCUGGGCCGGAACAACGCGUGGAACUCGUCUUUACUUCCUUCGGCCUCCGCGGCUCUCCGCCAGAUGGAUCCGCCGUCGGGGAAUUGCCUGCAUGUGUUCACGAGUACAUGGAUGUGUACACGGAGAUACGAUCGGAGAAUACGACCAAGUUGAUAGAGACGCCGUUCGGUGGCCGUUAUUGCGGUCCUAUUCCACCGCGUAGAAGAGUUUCACUUUAUCAGGGUCUCGCUCUGAGCUUCUACACGGAUAAAAAUGUCACAGAGCCGAGCCUCUUCGGCGGCCGAUACACCUUCAUCAAUGCCUCCGAAUACGCGGUUGGUACACCAGCUCCGGAAACUCCGUGCUCGUACAUCGUAGACUCCCAAACGAAACGUACGGGAAACAUACUAUCGCCGACUUAUCCAGGCACAUAUCCGAAGGAUCUCGUCUGCAACUACACGUUCAUUGGAAAACCGGCGCAGAGGGUUCGUCUCGAGUUUCGUGACUUUGACUUAUUCUUCGGAGGUCCUCACUGUCCGUUCGAUUACGUCAAAGUGUUUGACGGUCCGAACACAACGUCACCGGUUAUCGGCACUUACUGCGGUCAACAGCGAAAUUUGGUGUUGUAUUCCUCGCAAAAUAAUCUCACGGUUUUAUUCGUAACUCUUGAGCGUACGGCGAAUACGCAAAAUCGAGGAUUCAAAGGAAUCUUUGAAUUUUCCGAGAGUUUUGUUAAAUUAGAUUUCAUAACCAACUACCAUGGUAUGCAUAUACGUGGCUCGGAGUGUGAUCAAAAAAUUUUGAGCCAGAAAAAAUCGUCGGGUUACGUCGUCAGUCCAAAUUAUCCAUUUCCAUACAUAACCAAAGUCGUUUGUCGUUACUUCGUUUAUGGUAUGCAAGACUCGCAACAUUUGGAGCGCGUGCGACUGACUUUUUUGAACUUUGAAAUAACAAAGGGCGAGGCUAAGGGAGAGUCCGCGUGUACAGAUGGUUACCUCAAGAUUUACUUGAAAGGACAGGAGGCGACGGACUCUUACGACAAAUUUGACUACGAGAUGUGUGGCACCGAGAGCAAUCCGAGCCACGUAGUUAGCGACGGGCCACGUCUCGUCAUGGUGUUCAGCAGCGGGGAAAUGAAGCAGGGCAAAGGAUUCAAAGCACAAUACAAUUUCGAAACGGAAUACAGGAUACCGGGUACAGCGGCACCGGACGGUACCUGCUCCUUCGCAUACCGCAGUUCCUCACGUAAAAAAGGCGAAUUCAAUUCGCCGCGUUAUCCUAGCAAUUAUCCAAGCGAUACGAAUUGUACAUACUUGUUUUUGGCAACACCGAACGAACAAGUCACCCUCGUGUUCGAUCAUUUUAAAGUCAGAACGAGAAAUACCAACCUGACCGUUGGUCAUUACGGGGCUGAAUUGUGCCAAGACGACUGGCUCGAAAUUUACAAUAUGUAUCGGGAUGAUACAGAAAAAUUGAUAGGUAGGUUUUGUUGGAUGACCUCACCGGGGCCGGUGGAAUCGAAUCUCGGAGCUCUCGGUCUCAAAGUUAUCCUCCAUUCGGACUCGGAACUCGUCUACAGCGGAUUCAAAGCUCGCUACACCUUCGAAGUGGCGAAAUCCAUUUUUGGAGAUUGCGGCUCAAAUAUAAGCAGUCUCGACUUUGGUGUUAUAACAAGUCCAAACUUUCCAAACAAUUAUGACAAACCUGCGCGUAAUCUUGCCAGUAAAACGUGUAAUUGGUUCAUCAACGUUCGACCGAAUCAUCGGAUACUUCUGAACUUUGAAUUAUUUUCUGUCGAGGGUGAACAAUCUGUGCGUGGUUGUCCCGCUGCAGUUUUACGAAUGUGGCAUUCGUCAACGGCACCACCCUUCGAGUUAUGUGGGGUGAAAACUCCGGAAUCACAAUGGAGUUAUCUGUCAGAAGAGAACAACAUGCGUCUUAGUUUCAUAUCUGCUGACAAGGCGGUUGGGCAACGUGGAUUUCGUGCAGUGUGGACGGAAGUUUCAAUGGCGACCGAGUGCGAUACAAACGAAUUUCAUUGCGAAAUAAGCAGAUAUUGCAUCUCGACGGCUCUGCGUUGCAACAAAAUCGACAAUUGCGGACCGGAAGACACAUCCGACGAGGAAAACUGUACAGCAUCAGCCCCGCUGUCACCAGCACUCACCGGACUUUCUGCCAUGCUUCUUCGUCUGUCUCUGUGCUUCUCUGUGUUCGCGAGCAUCUGAGGCCUUUUCCCUCUCGAGGCUUCGGACGAUCGGGCAUGAUAUGAUCUCUCCCUUAUAUCACGUGCGAUUGCUGCGCCAAUUGACAAUUACGCGGUGCCAGUGAGUUGCGCGGUUGCGGCCGUCCUCGCAGCUCUCGUACUGUGUCUCAUAUGUCAUCGUAAAUUGAAGAGACGCGUCGAGGAAGUGCACAUUGACGA
This 3886-nucleotide unclassified non-coding RNA is filed under the name Venturia canescens. Its description in RNAcentral is "tolloid-like protein 1, transcript variant X3". Lineage: Eukaryota; Metazoa; Arthropoda; Insecta; Hymenoptera; Ichneumonidae. The record is from RNAcentral.